CCAGAGCUGGAGAGAGAACCCAGGAGUCCUGGCUCCCAGCCCCCUGCUCUGACUAGACCCCACUCCCUUCCCAAAGCUGGGGAGGGAACCCAGGUGUCUUGCGCCCCUCUCCAGCACACUCUGCCCCCCAUUUAUCUCUGAUAGGGUUAAAACACACUCUGCACUCAUGUGACAAGCCAACAGCAGCCACUUUCCUGUAAUUUACUCACCAAAUCACCGCCAUGUUGGGUCGUGGUCCGGCACUGUAGACCGGGGGUUUCUGUCCGGGAGUCCAGCUCUGCUCUGUGGCUGUCGCGUAGCUCUUCUGAGGUAUCUUUGCCUGUCAGACAUCCCCUCUCCUCCCCCCCAAAUGGUAGUCAAGAUAAUUAUAGAUUAAAACCAAGAGAUGACGCCCACUGGGGAGCUUUCACUGUUACAGCUGGUGAGAAGGUGUGAAAAUUGGACAGGCUGGCGAGGUGAAAAAACCAGGGUGAAAAAACAACAUUGGUGUGACUUUCACUUGUGUAAACUUCCCCUUUUCAGCCCAUGUUUUUUGUUGGUCAGUUUUCCCCAGAGAUUGGUCACGACGGCCGCAGAGCACAGAAAAGAUUGAGGCCCCUGGGGGCUCUUUUUGAGAACCUGCCGUGUGGGAGGGUGAAGAAGAAGACUUUACGGCUGUCUUGGAACUGGGGAUAGAACCCAGGAGUCCUGACUCUCAACCACCCAGGAUGGAUAGAUUGACAGUGGGUGUAUUCGGGGAUAGACAGAUGUCCUGUACAUAGUUGCACACAAGUUUCGUGUCUCAAUUCUAGCCAUCUUUUCUUUAUUUUAAUGUCUCCUGGCAGUUUGUCUUUAUUACACAAAGGGUCUCUUCUGGUCCUUGCUCCUGUGAAGGUGGUGAGAAGUAGUUGGGUGGUUCCUCGCACCAUGACUGGUGGUGGAAUGUCCACUGCAAUUUGACCUGUUUAGAACUCAUCAAUUCGUGGAGUUUCAGGGCAGAAGAAGGGAUCACUGUGAUCGGCAUGUCCCCCAGCAAUUCCUGGCCCAAGCCCCCACCUUCUGGUCGAGCAGAGCAGUUAGAAAGACAGGCCAAAGCUGGCUUUAAGGACUCCGUGUCAUGGAGAGUCCAAAAGAAUCCAGAAAUAAGGACUGCAACCCCCAAAAUACUGCAAAAUUGGGAAAGCCAGCUGGGAGUGAAUAUUUCAUCCUCAGUGAAUUUCCCCUGGAUCUGUCAGUGUCCCGGAGAGGCAGACUGAAGAGCCCAGAAUCCGAGGUGUAUGGUUUGAAAGAUGUGUUUGCACAGAAGGGCAGGGACCGGAGGAGAAAGCGCGCGUGUUGAGUUAUCUCAUCCAUCCAUGACUCAUGGAGGGCUCUUCCCUAGCUUUAACAAACGGUCUUGUCAUCAAACAGAGGAAGGGACUUAGGGAGCUGGCUUCGGUUCCCAGAUCUCCCACAGACUCCCCCUGUCACCUUGGGGAAGCCACGUCAUCUCUCCAGGACUCAGUUUCCCCAUCUGUUCAAUAACAGUACUGAUGCUCACUUCACACUGGAGAGCUGAGGAGGGCUGGACUCACACUGUGAGGCACGUGGGGAAUAUUUCUGCCUUCUAAAGGACCAGAGUCUCCUUUCAGCAUCACUUGGAAAAAACCAGAGUGAGUCCUCUGGAGUUGCUCCAGGUUUACACUGGAACAGCCAAGGUCAGAAUCCCAUUUCUCGUGUUUUUCGUCCAUCGCUCGGACACCACUUCACAAUGGAAAGUUAAAGGGCAAGAGAAGGUCUGCGACAGGCCCAUGGUCCCACAGCAGCUGGGAAUAGAACCUAAGAGUCCUGACUCCUUUCCCAGGGAAUUGGCCAUUGGGCCAGGCAGCCAUCAGGCCACAGAGGGAGGUGGAUGGACGGAUGUAGGUAGAUCAGUGGCCUGGUUUUCAGAGUUUCCCCCCUUUUGAUGGUUUCUCUCAUAUUCUCUUUCUUUUUCCAGCGACCCGCACAACGCCCUCCGUCUUCCCCCUGGUUCCCUGCUGCAGCAAGACCGGCAAUGCGCCCCCGGACACCAGCUUGGCCUGCCUCGUAACUGGCUAUUUGCCAUCACCAGUGGACAUCAAGUGGAAUUCUGGCCAAGUGACCAAGGGGGUCAAAACUUUCCCAGAGGUGACGAUGAGCAAUGGGCUCCACACCCAGAGCAGCCUGCUGAUCCCCUCUGACAGUUCCCGGCAGGGCGACCCCUACCAGUGUGACGUGACGCAUCAAGGCUCAGCAAAGACAGUGUCCGGGAAGUUCCCUCAGGAAUUGUGUGGUUUGACAAUGCCACCCCAGGUUCACCUCCUGGUCCCCACCUGCGAGGACAGCACCACAGAGAGCCAGCUAGAGCUGGUUUGCCUCCUCCUGAGCUUCAGACCCGGGAAAGCCGACGUGAAAUGGCUGGUGAAUGGAAAGGAGAGGAGCCCCCCCACCCCGGCCUUUUCCUCUGCAAUGGGCACAGAUGGCUCCUACAUGGGGCAGAGCCGUAUGACCGUCACCAGGCAGAGCUGGGAGAUGGGGGACGUCUACACCUGUCAAGUGACCCACCCAGCAGGGGGAACAGAGCUCUCCAUGCACAACGCCAGCAAGUGCUUGGGCAUCAGUAAGAAGGAGCCCACAGUCACCGUCUCCCGAGCCUACCACGAAGACAUCUCUGGGAACAGUGUCUCCUUUACUCUCAUCUGCGAAGCUAGUGGCUUUUACCCUGAAGAGAUCAGCAUGUCAUGGUUGAAGAAUAACUCCCCGGAACUCAAGUCCAGUUACAACAGUGGCCCUGUGUCAGGAAAUGGCACUUUCUCUGCCUACAGCGUCCUGAAGGUUGAGCAAAGUCAAAGAGAAGGAAAUUACGCCUGCGUGGUGCAUCACCCAGCCAUGGAAGAGCCCAAGAGGGUUGUGGAAAAGGUGUCCCUCGGUGUCAGCAACUGUAAUCGACACCCUCUGGAGGUCUCUCUCCUUCCCCCUUCCCUGGAGGACCUCUACAUAGGGCAGAACGCCACCAUCAGUUGUUUGGUGAGUGGCAUGGAAACCCCCGGCAGCCUGGAGGUCUCCUGGAACCGGGGUAGUGGGGGCCCGUUGGCCGUGGUCUCCAGGGAGCCAGUGCUGCAGGAAGAUGGCACCUACAGUGCAACCAGCAUCCUGCGGGUGUGCGUGGAGGAGUGGCAGGCGGGGGAGGAGUUCACCUGCACCGUGAAGCACCAAGACAUCCCAUCGGCCAUUGUCAAGAGCAUCCGCAAGAGUCACAUGGUUUCCCUCCGGGCCCCUUCUGUCUACAUCUCCCCUCCUCACGCUGAGGAGCUGGCUCUCCGGGAAUUGGCCACCAUCACCUGCCUGGCCUCCGGCUUCCGGCCCAGAGCCAUCUUGGUGACAUGGACCCAGCAGGACCGGCCCGUGCCCCAGGAAGCCUACACCAACAUUGGCCCCGUCCGGGAGGCUGGGAAGGAGGAGCGCUACUUCAUCUACAGCAAGCUCAAUGUCUUGGCAUCUGAAUGGGAGCGGGGGGACACGUACGCCUGCGUGGUGGGGCACGAGGGUCUGCCCAUGACCUUCAUCCACCGGAGUGUGGACAAAGCCUCCGGUAAACCCACUGCCGUCAAUGUCUCUGUGAUCUUGUCCGAUACCGACGUCACCUGCUACUGAGGAGCAGAGCCGCGUGGGCUCCUCACGGCGUAUCUGAGAUGGCCAGGGAACCUCGUGGGCUCUGGGAUUCCUCUUAGCCUGUGUGUAAAGCUGUGGGAGCUCUGGUGUACAGAGCGUGGCUGUGUGUGGAAUAUGCCCAAAUAAAAAUGCAGCAUGCCAGA
This is a non-coding RNA of Chelonia mydas (Green sea turtle), 3794 nucleotides long. Lineage: Eukaryota; Metazoa; Chordata; Testudines; Cheloniidae. The record is from the annotation of a RefSeq genome assembly.